GAUGAACGCUGGCGGCGUGCUUAACACAUGCAAGUCGAACGAAGCUGCCCAAAGGAAGUUUUCGGAUGGAAUUUAGGUAGACUUAGUGGCGGACGGGUGAGUAACGCGUGGAUAACCUGCCUUAUACAGGGGGAUAACGGAGAGAAAUUUCCGCUAACACCGCAUAAGACCACAGCACCGCAUGGUGCAGGGGUAAAAUAUUUAUAGGUAUAAGAUGGAUCCGCGUCCGAUUAGCUAGUUGGUGAGGUAAAGGCCCACCAAGGCGACGAUCGGUAGCCGGCCUGAGAGGGUGAACGGCCACAUUGGGACUGAGACACGGCCCAAACUCCUACGGGAGGCAGCAGUGGGGAAUAUUGGACAAUGGGGGAAACCCUGAUCCAGCGACGCCGCGUGAGUGAAGAAGUAUUUCGGUAUGUAAAGCUCUAUCAGCAGGGAAGAAAAUGACGGUACCUGACUAAGAAGCCCCGGCUAACUACGUGCCAGCAGCCGCGGUAAUACGUAGGGGGCAAGCGUUAUCCGGAUUUACUGGGUGUAAAGGGAGCGCAGACGGCAAUGCAAGUCUGAAGUGAAAGGCGUGGGCUCAACCCAUGAACUGCUUUGGAAACUGUAUAGCUUGAGUGUCGGAGGGGUAAGCGGAAUUCCUAGUGUAGCGGUGAAAUGCGUAGAUAUAUGGAGGAACACCGGUGGCGAAAGCGGCUCUCUGGUCUGUAACUGACGCUGAGGCUCGAAAGCGUGGGGAGCAAACAGG
Molecule: ribosomal RNA, 748 nt
Filed under: uncultured Lachnospiraceae bacterium
Lineage: Bacteria; Bacillati; Bacillota; Clostridia; Lachnospirales; Lachnospiraceae
Description: bacterial SSU rRNA
Rfam family: Bacterial small subunit ribosomal RNA
Source: RNAcentral